This 253-nucleotide ribosomal RNA is filed under the name uncultured bacterium. RNAcentral's name for it is "partial 16S ribosomal RNA". It matches the Rfam family "Bacterial small subunit ribosomal RNA", at positions 524 to 776 of the family's 1533-position model. The record is from RNAcentral.
GACGAACCGUCCUAACGUUAUUCGGAUUCACUGGGCUUAAAGGGCGCGUAGGCGGUUUGCCAAGUCCGGGGUGAAAUCUUUCGGCUCAACCGGAAAAGUGCCUUGGAUACUGGCGAACUUGAGGGAGGUAGGGGCAUGUGGAACUUCCGGUGGAGCGGUGAAAUGCGUUGAUAUCGGAAGGAACGCCGGUGGCGAAAGCGACGUGCUGGCCCUCUUCUGACGCUGAGGCGCGAAAGCCAGGGGAGCAAACGGG